This is a long non-coding RNA of Lycium barbarum (goji berry), 1243 nucleotides long. RefSeq lists it as uncharacterized. The transcript is spliced from 3 exons. The record is from RefSeq and is a predicted model, not a curated record. Lineage: Eukaryota; Viridiplantae; Streptophyta; Magnoliopsida; Solanales; Solanaceae.
UUAUUUGCUGAGGUGGGGCCCACACAUCGAGAUUUUUUUGGGACAUCUGAAAAGUCAUAUGAAUCACAUAUGUGAAGUUAAACACAACUCAAGAAGGACCCUUGGGCCAAAUCAAAGUGGAAGUCCUCCAAACGAAUAUUUUUAAGAAAACGUUUUCGGGUGAUCUGACUUCUAGGGGCAAAAACGGUAUUAUAAGUUUGGAAUUUGGAAAAUACCAAGAAAUAGAAGUUGUAGAUAAUUGAAUUAUCUUUCCAACCAUAGGUCGUGGGUUCCCAGGUGACAUCGGUACAAGGAGAUAUGGACGUUUUAAGGUCGAAAGGUCAGUGGGCUAGGCCCAACUCGGGAUCAACCGAGUUGGCCCAAAAAAAUAAAAAAACGAAUUAAGGCCCAAAGGAGAGGGGUGGCCGGCCAUCUUAUGGCCCAAGCCCACAAAAUUAAUAAAUUUCCCAUGUGAUAAUUAAUAUAAAGGAUCAUUAAAUUGUCUUGAAACAUUUAGAAGUUUCAAGACAAUUGAGAAAGAGAGAAAGAGAGAAACAAGAGAAAGAAGAGCAAGAAUAAGAAGGCCAUUUUCGGCCAAGCUCUAGACCAAAAAAAAAAAAAAAAAAAUUUUUUUCAAAAAUCAUUUUCUACCAAUUAAAGGGUCCUUUACAACUUGGUGUAAUUAUUUUGGAAGAAAGAACACUUGUUUCUUCAAGUUGACAACUUGGUCAAGUGAAGAAGAUUGUAGAAAAAGAUUUUGGCGAACUUGAAACUUGAUUUUGGAGACGUGUAUGAAUCGGAAAAGGUCAACAGGUAGACAGAUUUGACUCUUAGAAGCUCCAUCAGCAGUACUGUGGCAGCGCUCCAGUUGUUCCGGAGCCUCAGUUUCUUGGUACUACUUUUGUGUACAUAUUCGGGCACGGUAGAACCGGUCCUUCUUGUAUAUGUAGAUGUACUUUGUUUAGAGGCUCGUAGACAGAUAUGUACAGUCAGAUGUUUUGUACUUUUGUGGUCCUCGUCGUUGUAUAAUGUGCUAGCAAAGUUUAUAAGUCCAUGUCUACAAUUAUGCCAUUAAUGUUAGCGUUAAGCAACAGAAAAAAAAAAAAGAUACGGUAUAGUCUAUACGGCCCACCUAGUAGUAAAAGUACGAUACGAGAUAAGGGGUGCUCGGUACAAGUAUCGGGUACCCGUCGCGGCCCCUAGUUGGGUCGUGACACUUUUGUAUUUAAAAAAAGAAAUAUUUGUGUAACCUUGAGAAUUGAGC